Molecule: ribosomal RNA, 283 nt
Filed under: uncultured bacterium
Lineage: Bacteria
Description: partial 16S ribosomal RNA
Rfam family: Bacterial small subunit ribosomal RNA
Source: RNAcentral
AAAGAUUUAUCGGCAAAGGAUCGGCCCGCGUUGGAUUAGGUAGUUGGUGGGGUAAAGGCCUACCAAGCCGACGANCCUUAGCUGGUCUGAGAGGAUGAUCAGCCACACUGGGACUGAGACACGGCCCAGACUCCUACGGGAGGCAGCAGUGGGGAAUAUUGGACAAUGGGCGAAAGCCUGAUCCAGCAAUGCCGCGUGAGUGAUGAAGGCCUUCGGGUCGUAAAGCUCUUUACCAGGGAUGAUAAUGACAGUACCUGGAGAAUAAGCUCCGGCUAACUCCGUG